Molecule: ribosomal RNA, 261 nt
Filed under: uncultured archaeon
Lineage: Archaea
Description: partial 16S ribosomal RNA
Rfam family: Archaeal small subunit ribosomal RNA
Source: RNAcentral
CAGCCCUAAACGAUGCGCGUUAGGUGUAUCGGUGACCACGAGUCACCGAGGUGCCGAAGGGAAACCGUGAAACGUGCCGCCUGGGAAGUACGGUCGCAAGGCUGAAACUUGAAGGAAUUGGCGGGGGAGCACCACAACGGGUGGAGCCUGCGGUCUAAUUGGACUCAACGCCGGGAAGCUCACCGGAUAAGACAGCGGAAUGAUUGCCGGGCUGAAGACCCUGCAUGACCAGCUGAGAGGAGGUGCAUGGCGUAGACGUCU